This is a long non-coding RNA of Drosophila subpulchrella, 428 nucleotides long. RefSeq lists it as uncharacterized. The transcript has 2 exons. Lineage: Eukaryota; Metazoa; Arthropoda; Insecta; Diptera; Drosophilidae. The record is from RefSeq and is a predicted model, not a curated record.
GCACCAAAAAUUAAACUCGAAGGUUGCCGAUGGUCGUUAUUUUACGAUAGAUUUUUCGGUACUGUUCUCUUGACAAUUAAAUUAUAAAGACAACAGGGCGCGGUGUUUCUUGUCUCUUGCAUUUCUCGUCAGUUUCAUUUUUAAUUCAGAAAAGUGAGGUUCGUGCUACUAUUUAAAAAAAAUUGUUGCUUUCUGUUACCAAUUUUACAUUAAUAUUGUCACAGAAUAGCAAAAUGGGAUGGGCACACCAAGGACUGGACUGCGUAAAGGACAAAAGAACAAAGUAAUACAUUUUAGGAAGUGCGCGCAGAAAAAAGCAAACCCCGAAGCAGGAAGCAGCAAGCCCCCGUACACAAGGAGAGCGAUUCCGAUUAUUAAUUAUUUUGGUUCCUAAAUAUUGGAAUAAAAAAAUAAUUAUGAAUAUAAAA